ACCAAAUUGGCCCGGUUGCUAGGGAAGGUGGAGUCACAUGGGGUAGCCAAAUUGGCCCGGUUGCUAGGGAGGGUAGAGUCACAUGGGGUAACCAAAUUGGCCCGGUUGCUAGGGAGGGUAGAGUCACAUGGGGUAACCAAAUUGGCCCGGUUGCUAGGGAGGGUAGAGUCACAUGGGGUAACCAAAUUGGCCCGGUUGCUAGGGAGGGUAGAGUCACAUGGGGUAACCAAAUUGGCCCGGUUGCUAGGGAGGGUGGAGUCACAUGGGGUAACCAAAUUGGCCCGGUUGCUAGGGAAGGUAGAGUCACAUGGGGUAACCAAAUUGGCCCGGUUGCUAGGGAGGGUAGAGUCACAUGGGGUAACCAAAUUGGCCCGGUUGCUAGGGAGGGUAGAGUCACAUGGGGUAACCAAAUUGGCCCGGUUGCUAGGGAGGGUAGAGUCACAUGGGGUAACCAAAUUGGCCCGGUUGCUAGGGAGGGUAGAGUCACAUGGGGUAACCAAAUUGGCCCGGUUGCUAGGGAGGGUAGAGUCACAUGGGGUAACCAAAUUGGCCCGGUUGCUAGGGAGGGUGGAGUCACAUGGGGUAACCAAAUUGGCCCGGUUGCUAGGGAAGGUAGAGUCACAUGGGGUAACCAAAUUGGCCCGGUUGCUAGGGAGGGUAGAGUCACAUGGGGUAACCAAAUUGGCCCGGUUGCUAGGGAGGGUAGAGUCACAUGGGGUAACCAAAUUUGCCCGGUUGCUAGGGAGGAUAGAGUCACAUGGGGUAACCAAAUUGGCCCGGUUGCUAGGGAGGGUAGAGUCACAUGGGGUAACCUCCUCGUGGUGGUGAUUAGUGGUUCUCUCAAUGGGGCGUGUGGUGAGUUGUGUGUGGAUCGUGGAGAGUAGCAUGAGUCUCCACAAGCUGUGAGUCUCCGCGGUGUCAUGCACAACGAGUCACGUGAUCAGAUGCGCCGAUUGACGUCUCAGACACGGAGGUGACUGAUACU
Molecule: long non-coding RNA, 985 nt
Organism: Xyrauchen texanus (razorback sucker)
Lineage: Eukaryota; Metazoa; Chordata; Actinopteri; Cypriniformes; Catostomidae
Exons: 4
Source: RefSeq, a predicted model, not a curated record